GGACUCCAUCUUGCCCUCAUUGUACAUGCUGUGUGUAUUCCUUUGGCGUACACAGCGCAUGCAAUGUGGACAGGAGGGAGGCCG
MicroRNA precursor from Anolis carolinensis (green anole), 84 nucleotides. Ensembl annotates it as aca-mir-460b. Its record names the gene aca-mir-460b. The record is from Ensembl. Lineage: Eukaryota; Metazoa; Chordata; Lepidosauria; Squamata; Anolidae.